UACGUAGGUGGCAAGCGUUGUCCGGAUUUACUGGGCGUAAAGAGCGCGCAGGCGGUCGUUCAAGUCGCGUGUGAAAGCCCCCGGCUCAACUGGGGAGGGUCACGCGAUACUGAUCGACUUGAAGGCAGGAGAGGGAAGCGGAAUUCCCGGUGUAGUGGUGAAAUGCGUAGAUAUCGGGAGGAACACCAGUGGCGAAGGCGGCUUCCUGGCCUGUUCUUGACGCUGAGGCGCGAAAGCUAGGGGAGCAAACAGG
Molecule: ribosomal RNA, 253 nt
Filed under: uncultured bacterium
Lineage: Bacteria
Description: partial 16S ribosomal RNA
Rfam family: Bacterial small subunit ribosomal RNA
Source: RNAcentral